Oreochromis niloticus (Nile tilapia) is the source of this 670-nucleotide long non-coding RNA. RefSeq lists it as uncharacterized. NCBI's taxonomy places the organism in Eukaryota, Metazoa, Chordata, Actinopteri, Cichliformes, Cichlidae. The transcript has 5 exons. The record is from RefSeq and is a predicted model, not a curated record.
UUUCUCACUUUUCAAGAAGUCCAGUGUGGGGUUUUUUUUUGUGCUUUCAGCACAUAUGCUGGAGCGUUUAUGGCCAGUGUAAAAAUAUGUACAUUUAAUUUGAAAGUAAACUGUCCCUUUAAGACUUGGCUGUGUACUUGUGCUCAACAACAGGAAAAAGAAACAUAAUAAAUGAGUGUCCUCGAGCCUCACCUGCUCCGGCUGAUAAACACAAGCCGUCAAUGCAGGGUGAGGUGGCGGGAUUAGGCGGGGACAUCCUUCAAAAGGUCUCUGUCUUGUUCACAGAGGCAGGGUCAACAGGAGCACCGGGGAACGGCCGAGCUCGUCCUGAAUCUGAGACGAGGUGACAGGGGAGGAGUGGCAGGUGAUAAGCCCGCACGGUGAAGGGCAUUCGUGUUGGUGUGUUGUCAGAGAUAAUGGGUUCAAAGGAUGAGUGGAGACGAGGUGGCUAGCCAAAAUUGAAGAAAAUGUUAUGGUAACAACAGGAGGAAGUUUGCUGGAUAAGAGGAAACAGCCCAAAGCCCAAAUCAUCCAAAGGAUGAAAAAGCAGUCAUAGCUUUUAUGGGCUUAUUCAGAUAAUAGUUGUAAAGAAAAAUGACUUGAGCAGAAUGUGAUGAAUUCAGCUUAAGAUGGAUGAGACUGCAGAAGGAGAAGACUCCUGUGCAACGGC